AGCUUAACUGGCCAAUCACAGGGUGCAU
This 28-nucleotide small RNA is filed under the name Bombyx mori (domestic silkworm). Its description in RNAcentral is "ovarian small RNA-12151". Lineage: Eukaryota; Metazoa; Arthropoda; Insecta; Lepidoptera; Bombycidae. The record is from RNAcentral.